Pan troglodytes (chimpanzee) is the source of this 292-nucleotide long non-coding RNA. RefSeq lists it as uncharacterized. NCBI's taxonomy places the organism in Eukaryota, Metazoa, Chordata, Mammalia, Primates, Hominidae. The transcript has 4 exons. The record is from RefSeq and is a predicted model, not a curated record.
GAACACUGCCACAAGAGAGACCUCAGGGACACAACCUUCAAAGCUGAGAAGUGUAAGGGGGAGAAUUAGAGAGCAGCUGGAGUGCAAAGUAUAUCAGCAAAUACUACAGGAGGAGGAGUGCAUGUGUCCUGAAUACAAAUUUCAAAGGAGAACUAGAGAAGGACAACUGGACAGUCCAGGAAACACAGACUGGACACGAGCAGUGCAGAGAGAAGGGAUUUUGCAGCAGAACGUGAUUGUAGAACUGGAGGCAAGAGAUGUCCCCUGAAGUUGUAAUAAUUGCACAGAGGCA